CGAGCACGCGCGUGUGGCAUAUCAAUAAGCGGAGGAAAAGAAACUAACAAGGAUUCCCCCAGUAACGGCGAGUGAAGCGGGAAGAGCUCAAAUUUGAAAUCUUAAAGGGUUUCCCUUUACGAAUUGUAGUUUAAAGAAGUGUUUUCUGUUGGAGUUUCGGUAAAAGUUCUUUGGAAUAGGACAUCAUAGAGGGUGAGAAUCCCGUAUUUGACCGUUACUUUCCAGCUGUGUGAUACACUUUCAGAGAGUCGGAUUGUUUGGGAAUGCAGUCCAAAAUGGGUGGUAAAUUUCAUCUAAAGCUAAAUAUUGGCGAGAGACCGAUAGCGAACAAGUACCGUGAGGGAAAGAUGAAAAGAACUUUGAAAAGAGAGUUAAACAGUACGUGAAAUUGUCAAAAGGGAAGCGUUUGACACCAGUGUUGUUUUUCCGAAAAUCAAUUACGAAUGUUUUGUUUUUGAGGAGUUAUGACUUCAUCGGCUUGCUCCUUUCUUUACGAAACUUUCUUAAUGCACUUUUCGGUUAACAAGUCAACAUCAAUUUCUUUUGUUGUAAAAGGGUAUGAGGAAGGUGGCUUACUUUUCGGCGUAAAGUGUUUAUAGCCUUGUAGCCUCUGCAAUCGGAGAGAUUGAGGCCAGCAGCGUAGACAUCCUUCUGGGGUUAGAUACGCUUGUGCUAAGCUAUAGCCUUGUAUAGACAACUUGUUGACUAUGCUCAGUCUUGUAGCUUACUCGCUUAUGCUAUUUUACCUACGCUUAGGAUGUUGAGCGCAUGUCUCUCUCU
Molecule: ribosomal RNA, 780 nt
Filed under: uncultured Neocallimastigales
Lineage: Eukaryota; Fungi; Neocallimastigomycota; Neocallimastigomycetes; Neocallimastigales
Description: partial large subunit ribosomal RNA
Rfam family: Eukaryotic large subunit ribosomal RNA
Source: RNAcentral